AGUGAACGCUGGCGGUAGGCCUAACACAUGCAAGUCGAACGGCAGCACAGUAAGAGCUUGCUCUUACGGGUGGCGAGUGGCGGACGGGUGAGGAAUACAUCGGAAUCUACUUUUUCGUGGGGGAUAACGUAGGGAAACUUACGCUAAUACCGCAUACGACCUACGGGUGAAAGCAGGGGAUCUUCGGACCUUGCGCGAUUGAAUGAGCCGAUGUCGGAUUAGCUAGUUGGCGGGGUAAAGGCCCACCAAGGCGACGAUCCGUAGCUGGUCUGAGAGGAUGAUCAGCCACACUGGAACUGAGACACGGUCCAGACUCCUACGGGAGGCAGCAGUGGGGAAUAUUGGACAAUGGGCGCAAGCCUGAUCCAGCCAUACCGCGUAGGUGAAGAAGGCCUUCGGGUUGUAAAGCCCUUUUGUUGGGAAAGAAAAGCAGCAGGUUAAUACCCCGCUGUUCUGACGGUUCCCAAAGAAUAAGCACCGGCUAACUUCGUG
Molecule: ribosomal RNA, 492 nt
Filed under: uncultured bacterium
Lineage: Bacteria
Description: partial 16S ribosomal RNA
Rfam family: Bacterial small subunit ribosomal RNA
Source: RNAcentral